This 650-nucleotide ribosomal RNA is filed under the name uncultured Acidimicrobiales bacterium. RNAcentral describes it as "bacterial SSU rRNA". It matches the Rfam family "Bacterial small subunit ribosomal RNA", at positions 73 to 735 of the family's 1533-position model. The record is from RNAcentral. Lineage: Bacteria; Bacillati; Actinomycetota; Acidimicrobiia; Acidimicrobiales.
UCGACCUUCGGGUCACAUGAGUGAGUGGCGAACGGGUGAGUAACACGUGAGAAACCUGCCCCGAAGACUGGAAUAACCCGAGGAAACUCGGGCUAAUACCGGAUAUCCCCACCAGGUCGCAUGGCCAGGUGAGGAAAUGCUCAGGCGCUUCGGGAGGGUCUCGCGGCCUAUCAGCUAGUUGGUGAGGUAACGGCUCACCAAGGCAACGACGGGUAGCUGGUCUGAGAGGACGAUCAGCCACACUGGGACUGAGACACGGCCCAGACUCCUACGGGAGGCAGCAGUGGGGAAUCUUGCGCAAUGGGCGAAAGCCUGACGCAGCCACGCCGCGUGAGGGAUGAAGGCUUUCGGGUUGUAAACCUCUUCCAGCAGGGACGAAAAUGACGGUACCUGCAGAAGAAGCUCCGGCCAACUACGUGCCAGCAGCCGCGGUAACACGUAGGGAGCAAGCGUUGUCCGGAUUUAUUGGGCGUAAAGAGCUCGUAGGCGGUUCGGUAAGUCGGGUGUGAAAACUUGAGGCUCAACCUCAAGAGGCCACUCGAUACUGCUGUGACUGGAGUCCGGUAGAGGAGUGUGGAAUUCCUGGUGUAGGCGGUGAAGUGCGCAUAUAUCAGGAAGGAACACCGACGGCGAAGGGAGCACUCUGGGCC